UACGGAGGGUGCAAGCGUUAAUCGGAAUUACUGGGCGUAAAGCGCACGCAGGUGGCUUGUUAAGUCAGAUGUGAAAGCCCCGGGCUCAACCUGGGAACUGCAUUUGAAACUGGCAAGCUAGAGUCUCGUAGAGGGAGGUAGAAUUCCAGGUGUAGCGGUGAAAUGCGUAGAGAUCGGGAGGAAUACCAGUGGCGAAGGCGGCCGCCUGGACGAAGACUGACGCUCAGGUGCGAAAGCGUGGGGAGCAAACAGG
RNAcentral lists this ribosomal RNA (253 nucleotides) under uncultured bacterium. Its description in RNAcentral is "partial 16S ribosomal RNA". It matches the Rfam family "Bacterial small subunit ribosomal RNA", at positions 524 to 776 of the family's 1533-position model. The record is from RNAcentral.